UACGUAGGGUGCGAGCGUUGUCCGGAAUUAUUGGGCGUAAAGAGCUCGUAGGCGGUUUGUCGCGUCUGCUGUGAAAUCCCGAGGCUCAACCUUGGGCCUGCAGUGGGUACGGGCAAACUAGAGUGCGGUAGGGGAGAUUGGAAUUCCUGGUGUAGCGGUGGAAUGCGCAGAUAUCAGGAGGAACACCGAUGGCGAAGGCAGAUCUCUGGGCCGUAACUGACGCUGAGGAGCGAAAGCGUGGGGAGCGAACAGG
RNAcentral lists this ribosomal RNA (253 nucleotides) under uncultured bacterium. RNAcentral's name for it is "partial 16S ribosomal RNA". It matches the Rfam family "Bacterial small subunit ribosomal RNA", at positions 524 to 776 of the family's 1533-position model. The record is from RNAcentral.